Molecule: unclassified non-coding RNA, 201 nt
Filed under: uncultured fungus
Lineage: Eukaryota; Fungi
Description: partial contains 18S rRNA, ITS1 and 5.8S rRNA
Source: RNAcentral
AGGUGAACCUGCGGAAGGAUCAUUCAUAAUAAGUGUUUUAUGGCACUUUUUAAAUCCAUAUCCACCUUGUGUGCAAUGUCAGUCGAUCUUCUUCAUGGAGAUCGGCCAAACAUCAACCUUAUCUUUUAACUCUUUGUCUGAAAAAUAUUAUGAAUAAACAAUUCAAAAUUCAACUUUCAACAACGGAUCUCUUGGCUCUCG